UCAUCUUCGGGGGUAGAGCACUGUUUCGGCUAGGGGGUCAUCCCGACUUACCAACCCGAUGCAAACUACGAAUACCGAAGAAUGUUAUCACGGGAGACACACGGCGGGUGCUAACGUCCGUCGUGAAGAGGGAAACAACCCAGACCGCCAGCUAAGGUCCCAAAGUCAUGGUUAAGUGGGAAACGAUGUGGGAAGGCACAGACAGCCAGGAUGUUGGCUUAGAAGCAGCCAUCAUUUAAAGAAAGCGUAAUAGCUCACUGGUCGAGUCGGCCUGCGCGGAAGAUGUAACGGGGCUAAACCAUGCACCGAAGCUGCGGCAGCGACACUAUGUGUUGUUGGGUAGGGGAGCGUUCUGUAAGCCUGCGAAGGUGUGCUGUGAGGCAUGCUGGAGGUAUCAGAAGUGCGAAUGCUGACAUAAGUAACGAUAAAGCGGGUGAAAAGCCCGCUCGCCGGAAGACCAAGGGUUCCUGUCCAACGUUAAUCGGGGCAGGGUGAGUCGACCCCUAAGGCGAGGCCGAAAGGCGUAGUCGAUGGGAAACAGGUUAAUAUUCCUGUACUUGGUGUUACUGCGAAGGGGGGACGGAGAAGGCUAUGUUAGCCGGGCGACGGUUGUCCCGGUUUAAGCAUGUAGGCUGGUUAUCCAGGCAAAUCCGGAUAACCAAGGCUGAGGUGUGAUGACGAGGCACUACGGUGCUGAAGUAACAAAUGCCCUGCUUCCAGGAAAAGCCUCUAAGCAUCAGGUAACAUCAAAUCGUACCCCAAACCGACACAGGUGGUCAGGUAGAGAAUACCAAGGCGCUUGAGAGAACUCGGGUGAAGGAACUAGGCAAAAUGGUGCCGUAACUUCGGGAGAAGGCACGCUGGUGUGUAGGUGAAGCCCCUGCGGGUGGAGCUGAGACCAGUCGAAGAUACCAGCUGGCUGCAACUGUUUAUUAAAAACACAGCACUGUGCAAACACGAAAGUGGACGUAUACGGUGUGACGCCUGCCCGGUGCCGGAAGGUUAAUUGAUGGGGUUAUCCGUAAGGAGAAGCUCUUGAUCGAAGCCCCGGUAAACGGCGGCCGUAACUAUAACGGUCCUAAGGUAGCGAAAUUCCUUGUCGGGUAAGUUCCGACCUGCACGAAUGGCGUAAUGAUGGCCAGGCUGUCUCCACCCGAGACUCAGUGAAAUUGAACUCGCUGUGAAGAUGCAGUGUACCCGCGGCAAGACGGAAAGACCCCGUGAACCUUUACUAUAGCUUGACACUGAACAUUGAGCCUUGAUGUGUAGGAUAGGUGGGAGGCUUUGAAGCGUGGACGCCAGUCUGCGUGGAGCCAACCUUGAAAUACCACCCUUUAAUGUUUGAUGUUCUAACGUUGGCCCCUUACCGGGGUUGCGGACAGUGUCUGGUGGGUAGUUUGACUGGGGCGGUCUCCUCCCAAAGCGUAACGGAGGAGCACGAAGGUUAGCUAAUCCUGGUCGGACAUCAGGAGGUUAGUGCAAUGGCAUAAGCUAGCUUGACUGCGAGCGUGACGGCGCGAGCAGGUGCGAAAGCAGGUCAUAGUGAUCCGGUGGUUCUGAAUGGAAGGGCCAUCGCUCAACGGAUAAAAGGUACUCCGGGGAUAACAGGCUGAUACCGCCCAAGAGUUCAUAUCGACGGCGGUGUUUGGCACCUCGAUGUCGGCUCAUCACAUCCUGGGGCUGAAGUAGGUCCCAAGGGUAUGGCUGUUCGCCAUUUAAAGUGGUACGCGAGCUGGGUUUAGAACGUCGUGAGACAGUUCGGUCCCUAUCUGCCGUGGGCGCUGGAGAAUUGAGGGGGGCUGCUCCUAGUACGAGAGGACCGGAGUGGACGCAUCACUGGUGUUCGGGUUGUCAUGCCAAUGGCACUGCCCGGUAGCUAAAUGCGGAAGAGAUAAGUGCUGAAAGCAUCUAAGCACGAAACUUGCCCCGAGAUGAGUUCUCCCUGAGACUUUAAGUCUCCUGAAGGAACGUU
RNAcentral lists this ribosomal RNA (1972 nucleotides) under Klebsiella pneumoniae. Its description in RNAcentral is "bacterial LSU rRNA". It matches the Rfam family "Bacterial large subunit ribosomal RNA", at positions 890 to 2839 of the family's 2925-position model. The record is from RNAcentral. Lineage: Bacteria; Pseudomonadati; Pseudomonadota; Gammaproteobacteria; Enterobacterales; Enterobacteriaceae.